AAUAUUGGACAAUGGGGGCAACCCUGAUCCAGCCAUGCCGCGUGUGUGAAGAAGGUCUNUGGAUUNUNAAGCACUUUAAGUUGGGNAGAAGGGCUUUAGGCUAAUACCCUGAAGUUUUGACGUUACCAACAGAAUAAGCACCGGCUAACUCUGUGCCAGCAGCCGCGGGAAUACAGAGGGUGCAAGCGUUAAUCGGAAUUACUGGGCGUAAAGAGCGCGUAGGUGGUUAAGUAAGAUGUGUGUGAGAUCCCCGGGCUUAACCUGGGAACUGCUUUCAUAACCGCUGAGCUAGAGUACGGUAGAGGGUAGUGGAAUUUCCUGUGUAGCGGUGAAAUGCGUAGAUAUAGGAAGGAACACCAGUAGCGAAGGCGACUACCUGGACUGAUACUGACACUGAGGUGCGAAAGCGUGGGGAGCAAACA
This 422-nucleotide ribosomal RNA is filed under the name uncultured bacterium. Its description in RNAcentral is "partial 16S ribosomal RNA". It matches the Rfam family "Bacterial small subunit ribosomal RNA", at positions 360 to 774 of the family's 1533-position model. The record is from RNAcentral.